GAUGAACGCUGGCGGCGUGCCUAAUACAUGCAAGUCGAGCGAACAGACGAGGAGCUUGCUCCUCUGACGUUAGCGGCGGACGGGUGAGUAACGCGUGGAUAACCUACCUAUAAGACUGGGAUAACUUCGGGAAACCGGAGCUAAUACCGGAUAAUAUAUUGAACCGCAUGGUUCAAUGGUGAAAGACGGUUUUGCUGUCACUUAUAGAUGGAUCCGCGCCGCAUUAGCUAGUUGGUAAGGUAACGGCUUACCAAGGCGACGAUGCGUAGCCGACCUGAGAGGGUGAUCGGCCACACUGGAACUGAGACACGGUCCAGACUCCUACGGGAGGCAGCAGUAGGGAAUCUUCCGCAAUGGGCGAAAGCCUGACGGAGCAACGCCGCGUGAGUGAUGAAGGUCUUCGGAUCGUAAAACUCUGUUAUUAGGGAAGAACAAAUGUGUAAGUAACUAUGCACGUCUUGACGGUACCUAAUCAGAAAGCCACGGCUAACUACGUG
Molecule: ribosomal RNA, 497 nt
Filed under: uncultured bacterium
Lineage: Bacteria
Description: partial 16S ribosomal RNA
Rfam family: Bacterial small subunit ribosomal RNA
Source: RNAcentral